GGGCGAGUGGCGGAAUGGCAGACGCUACGGACUUAAAAUCCGUCGAGGACAAUACCUCAUGAGGGUUCGACUCCCUCCUCGCCCACCA
Molecule: transfer RNA, 88 nt
Filed under: bacterium
Lineage: Bacteria
Also listed under: 1 other name
Description: tRNA-Leu
Rfam family: tRNA
About the family: Transfer RNA (tRNA) molecules are approximately 80 nucleotides in length. Their secondary structure includes four short double-helical elements and three loops (D, anti-codon, and T loops).
Source: RNAcentral